CCGCGGGGUAGAGCAGUUUGGUAGCUCGCAAGGCUCAUAACCUUGAGGUCACGGGUUCAAAUCCUGUCUCCGCAA
Molecule: transfer RNA, 75 nt
Filed under: Buddleja alternifolia
Lineage: Eukaryota; Viridiplantae; Streptophyta; Magnoliopsida; Lamiales; Scrophulariaceae
Description: tRNA-fMet
Rfam family: tRNA
About the family: Transfer RNA (tRNA) molecules are approximately 80 nucleotides in length. Their secondary structure includes four short double-helical elements and three loops (D, anti-codon, and T loops).
Source: RNAcentral